Molecule: ribosomal RNA, 253 nt
Filed under: uncultured bacterium
Lineage: Bacteria
Description: partial 16S ribosomal RNA
Rfam family: Bacterial small subunit ribosomal RNA
Source: RNAcentral
UACAGAGGCCACAAGCGUUAGACGGAAUCACUGGGCUUAAAGCGUGUGUAGGCGGGAUGGUAAGUACCUUGUGAAAUCCCACAGCUUAACUGUGGAAAUGCUUGGUAUACUGCCGUUCUUGAGUCACCUAGGGGCAGCUGGAACAGAUGGUGGAGCGGUGAAAUGCAUAGAUAUCAUCUGGAACGCCAAUGGUGCAGACAAGCUGCUGGGGUGUACUGACGCUGAGGCACGAAAGCCAGGGGGAGCAAACGGG